GGCUAUAAUUAGCUUACAGCAAUGUUUAUUUCCCAAACCGGUUUGACAUAUUUUUACAAAUGGCCAAUCACAUGCGAGAUUCAAAUUCUGAACCUAAUCAAGUGUGGAAGUGGGAUUUGCAAUCGAUGUCACCCUGGGCCUUACACAGCGGAGGAGAGGGGGCGGCAGGGGACAACUGCCCCCCUAAAGAAAACUGUAUUUACAAUUUUUAGAUUGUCAUUGUUAAUUAUUCUUUGCAUAUUUGGGACUUUUUUCAACAUAUAAGCCUUACUGCCCCCUUGGUGAUACGGCCCUGAUGUGACCAGAGGCUCUCCGUUCUCACAUCUUGUUUCUUUCACCUUGCAAAGAGCCUCUGGAACCAGGGUACUCUUAAAGUAACACACAGACAAAGCAAAUAAUAUAAUGCUUUUAAAAAUCUUCAAUUUCAAAAGAGGCAGUAAAUUGGUAGGGAAAUCUUUCAAUAAUAUCCUGUGGUUAUGGUAAACUAUGUACCGGUACCAGACAAUAUAAAUCCCUGCCUGCUCAAAUCUAGGAAGUGUGGGGGCCAUUGGGCAAAGCAGGGUCACUGAAGGCCUGUUUAUAUGAUCCUGCCUAGACGGGAUGUUUUCAUCCCGCCUAGAUGGGAAAUUCGCCUAGUGUUUAUAUGGACAAAAUACAUUGCCUGGAUGAAGCCAUUUAAGUGAGCUUGACGUCAUAUUUUUGUUGCAAUAAAGGCAUUUACGCAUGCUCAAAAGGGAAAAGUUCAUACCACCUAGCUGGGAUGAAGUGUUUAUAUGGGAAUUUUUCGUUCCAGCUAGGCGGGAUGAAGUGUUUGUAUGGGAAUUUUUCAUCUCGUUUAGGCGGGAUCC
Molecule: non-coding RNA, 848 nt
Organism: Paramuricea clavata
Lineage: Eukaryota; Metazoa; Cnidaria; Anthozoa; Malacalcyonacea; Plexauridae
Source: the annotation of a GenBank genome assembly